UGUCUCCUCCAAUCCUCCUCCUUUGGUGGAUCUCAGCCCGGCCCCGAGCCGGGCGUUUUUUU
Thiobacillus sp. SCN 65-179 is the source of this 62-nucleotide non-coding RNA. NCBI's taxonomy places the organism in Bacteria, Pseudomonadati, Pseudomonadota, Betaproteobacteria, Nitrosomonadales, Thiobacillaceae. The record is from Rfam.